GAAUAUUGGACAAUGGGGGCAACCCUGAUCCAGCAAUGCCGCGUGUGUGAAGAAGGCCUGAGGGUUGUAAAGCACUUUCAGUGGGGAGGAGGUUUUGCGGGUUAAGAGCUAGCGGAAUGGACGUUACCCACAGAAGAAGCACCGGCUAACUCCGUGCCAGCAGCCGCGGUAAUACGGAGGGUGCAAGCGUUAAUCGGAAUUACUGGGCGUAAAGGGUUCGUAGGUGGUAUAUUAAGUUAUUUGUGAAAUCCCUGGGCUUAACCUGGGCAGGUCAGAUAAUACUGGUAUACUCGAGUAUGGGAGAGGGUAGUGGAAUUUCCGGUGUAGCGGUGAAAUGCGUAGAGAUCGGAAGGAACACCAGUGGCGAAGGCGGCUACCUGGCCUAAUACUGACACUGAGGAACGAAAGCGUGGGGAGCAAACAG
This 424-nucleotide ribosomal RNA is filed under the name uncultured bacterium. RNAcentral's name for it is "bacterial SSU rRNA". It matches the Rfam family "Bacterial small subunit ribosomal RNA", at positions 359 to 775 of the family's 1533-position model. The record is from RNAcentral.